GGACCAGACUCCUACGGGAGGCAGCAGUGAGGAAUAUUGGUCAAUGGCCGGGAGGCUGAACCAGCCAAGUCGCGUGAGGGAAGACGGCCCUACGGGUUGUAAACCUCUUUUGUCGGGGAGCAAAGCGAACCACGUGUGGUUCAUUGAGAGUACCCGAAGAAAAAGCAUCGGCUAACUCCGUGCCAGCAGCCGCGGUAAUACGGAGGAUGCGAGCGUUAUCCGGAUUUAUUGGGUUUAAAGGGUGCGCAGGCGGAAUGUCAAGUCAGCGGUAAAAUUUCGGGGCUCAACCCCGUCGUGCCGUUGAAACUGGCGUUCUUGAGUGAGCGAGAAGUAUGCGGAAUGCGUGGUGUAGCGGUGAAAUGCAUAGAUAUCACGCAGAACUCCGAUUGCGAAGGCAGCAUACCGGCGCUCAACUGACGCUGAAGCACGAAGGCGUGGGUAUCGAACAGGAUUAGAUACCCCGGUAAC
Molecule: ribosomal RNA, 468 nt
Filed under: uncultured bacterium
Lineage: Bacteria
Description: bacterial SSU rRNA
Rfam family: Bacterial small subunit ribosomal RNA
Source: RNAcentral